GACGAACGCUGGCGGCGUGCUUAACACAUGCAAGUCGAACGGAGUGGCGAACGGGUGUGUAACACGUGGGUGACCUGCCCUGCACUUCGGGAUAAGCCUGGGAAACUGGGUCUAAUACCGGAUAGUGUGGGAUGGGCGCGCGGCCAAUCCGCUUGGUGGUGGGGUAAUGGCCUACGAAGGCGGCGUCGGGUAGCCGGCCUGGGAGGGUGGACGGCCACAAGGGGACUAAGACACGUAGCAGAGUCCAACGGGAGGCAGCAGUGGGGAAUAUUGCACAAUGGGCGGAAGCCUGAUACAGCGACGCCGCGAGGGGGAUGACGGGCUUCGGGUUGUAAACUCCUUUCACCAUCGACGCGGUAGAUGGAGAAGAAGCACCGGCUAACUACGUGCCAGCAGCCGCGGUAAUUC
RNAcentral lists this ribosomal RNA (408 nucleotides) under uncultured bacterium. RNAcentral's name for it is "partial 16S ribosomal RNA". It matches the Rfam family "Bacterial small subunit ribosomal RNA", at positions 28 to 526 of the family's 1533-position model. The record is from RNAcentral.